This 755-nucleotide ribosomal RNA is filed under the name uncultured Thermoplasmatales archaeon. RNAcentral describes it as "bacterial SSU rRNA". It matches the Rfam family "Archaeal small subunit ribosomal RNA", at positions 147 to 901 of the family's 1478-position model. Lineage: Archaea; Methanobacteriati; Thermoplasmatota; Thermoplasmata; Thermoplasmatales. The record is from RNAcentral.
UAAUACCCCAUAGAUAUUCAAUGCUGGAAGGCUUGGAUAUCGAAAGCGCAAGCGCCAGAGGGUGAGUCUGCGGCCUAUCAGGUAGUAGGUGGUGUAACGGACCACCUAGCCUAAGACGGGUACGGGCCUUGAGAGAGGGAGCCCGGAGAUGGGUUCUGAGACACGAACCCAGGCCCUACGGGGCGCAGCAGGCGCGAAACCUUCGCACUGCGCGAAAGCGCGACGAGGGGAGCCCGAGUGCCUCUCCAUUUCGGGGAGGCUUUUCACAAGCCUAAAAAGCUUGUGGAAUAAGGGCUGGGCAAGACGGGUGCCAGCCGCCGCGGUAAUACCCGCAGCUCGAGUGGUGGUCGCUUUUAUUGAGCCUAAAACGUUCGUAGUCGGCCUUGUAAAUCCCUGGGUAAAUCGGACCGCUUAACGGUUCGAAUUCCGGGGAGACUGCAAGGCUAGGGACCGGGCGAGGUCAGAGGUACUUUCGGGGUAGGAGUGAAAUCCUGUAAUCCCGAAGGGACCACCUGUGGCGAAAGCGUCUGACUUGAACGGCUCCGACGAUGAGGAACGAAGGCUAGGGGAGCAAACCGGAUUAGAUACCCGGGUAGUCCUAGCUGUAAACUCUGCCCGCUUGGUGUGGCCUGUCCUUCGGGGGCAGGCUGUGCCGGAGCGAAGGUGUUAAGCGGGCUGCUUGGGGAGUACGGCCGCAAGGUUGAAACUUAAAGGAAUUGGCGGGGGAGACACCGCAACGGGAGGAUGCGUGCGGU